Molecule: long non-coding RNA, 3079 nt
Filed under: Homo sapiens (human)
Lineage: Eukaryota; Metazoa; Chordata; Mammalia; Primates; Hominidae
Description: HSALNT0057746
Source: RNAcentral
CUUUUUAAAUUCUCGGCAUAGUGUAAUGAUUACUAUUCCAAAACAGAAGAUAUGUUGGCAAACUGCCCUGUAUUUGAAAAUAGAGGAAAUGCCCUGGAAAGAAUGAGAUGUGGUAAAGAGAGGAAAUGACAAUGUACUGAAAAGACUGGGCUGUAAGUCAUCACAGCGGCGCCCUGAAACCCGAUAUGUCAGGCAAGCUGGUGGGAUCCUGGGAUCCCUCAUGUAACGGCACUCAUUCUGACAGAAGCAGAGAUAAAACAGACUAAGUACACAGAGGAGUUUAAGGUUUCGUGAAUGUAAGUGCUGAGUACAGAAUGGUGCUCAAUAAAAGCUUGUUAAUUGAUGGACCACAGGUUUGUGACAAGACUUCUCAGAGUCUGAUUCUUUCAAGGUGGGAUAUAAGAGUAAGUAAAUGGCAUGGGGAAAAUCUGAUUGCCACAGACAGAAGAAUGAAACUGGAUGCCUAUUUCUCACAAUACACAAAAGCGAUUCAAGAUUAAAGACUUAACUAUACCUUGACUAUGAAUAAUAGUUUCAAUAAGGAAGACAGAAUGAGUUCUGACACGAUGGUUGGGAGCUGUGACAGGCAGACGAAAAAUGGAGCCAAAUGGCAUGGAGGUGUCAUGAUGUUGGAACAGUAACAAUAACUCAACCAACCAGGGCUUGUCUGAAUACAAUCCUACAGCAGCAGGAGCUGUGGAGAUAUAGAAGGCAAGGAAGACCAGGUUGUGAGGGAAGACGAAUUUACUCCCAGGAAUGUUGGGAUUGAGAGUAAUAUUCUCCAAUAAUGGUGGAAGACAGAACAAUAAAAGCCCACCAGCUCCUUCUGCAUGGUGGGAUAAGAGAAAAGCCAAGGGCAGAAGUGAGAAAAAUAACCAUCACCAAACUGAAAAGAAAACCUUUAUAAAAAAACUGGAUUGAUAAAUGACCUUUAGUAGUGGAAAGAUACCAUUCCAAUGAAGCAUGAAUUGAAAGGAUUUCUUCUGAAAGCUAAUUUACAUUUUUCUUUUUUUUUUUUUCAUUUUCAGUGUGUUUUAGCAGGUGUAUUGUUCUACAUGGUUAGUUUCUUUACCUCUUUGAGAAAAAUGGGUCAGCUUGACACAUCUGGAUGAAAGAAUCCGUUAGGUGAUUAUGAUUGAAGACAGAUUAAGCCUUGUUAUGAGGGGAAUAUUUGGGGGCUUACCCUGAGGUGAUAUUUGAUGAUUUAGCUGUGGGAGAAUUUCCCUCCCAAGAUCAGCGUGACUGACACUGAAAUUGCUACAGGGGAACCGGACCUUUCCAAGAGGUGACAAGGACAUUUACCUGGUACAACACAAUGGUUCUGGACUGGAAGUCUAGUCCCAUUGAUGAAGUUCCCAAAAGAUGUCCAGGUCCUAAUCCCUGGAAUCUGUGAAUAUGUCAUCUUACACAUCAAAAGAACUUUGAAAAUGUGAUUGAGGUUAAGGACCUUGGAAUGAGGAGAUUACCUUGGAUUAUCUGGUUGGGUCCAAGCUAAUCACAUGAGUCCUUAAAGGAGAAGAACCUUUUUUAGCUGGGUCAGAGAGAGAUGUGAUGAUGAAAACAGGCUCAGGGAGAUGCACUGUAAGAAGGGCUUGACCAGUUGUUUUUGACUUUGAAGAUGGAGGGAAGGGCCAGGAGCCAAGGAAGGUGGGUGGCUUUUGGAAGGUGGAAAAAGCAAGGGAACAUUCUCUCCAGAGCCUCCAGAAAGGAGCUCAGCCCUGUUGACAUCUUUGUUUUUAUUUUUUAUUUUUAGUAGCAUUGAGGUCUCACUAUGUUGCACAGGCUGGUCUUGAACUCUUGAGCUCAAGCACUCCUCCCGCCUUGGCUUCCCAAAGUGCUGGGAUUAUAGGCAUGUGCCACCACAUCUGGCUUCCUACUGACAUCUUAACUUUAGUGCAGUGAGACUCAUAUUUGAAUUUCUGACCUUAUAUUAUAGAACCAUAAGACAUUAUAGAAUUAUAUAGAAUUAUAGAACCAUAAGACAAUAACUUUGUGUUGUUUUAAGAUACUAAAUUUUUGGUAAUUUGUUAUGGCAGCACAAUAAAACCAAUAUAGCAUUAUAUUAUGCCAAUAUCAUCUCUUUGUUGACUAUUGCUAUUAUAGUUUGUUUUAUGGGUCUUGUGUAAACAAUCAAGCUAUAAUAUUGGGUUAACUCCCUAAGGAAAACUUGGAAUAUAGAACAUUAUUUUAAAGACUGAAUUAGGUAAAUACACCUGCCAGUGAAUACAUUAACAAAUUAAUUAAUAUAUUCACUCUUUUCACUCACAAAUACUUUUUGAGCCCCUAUUACUAGCCAAACAUUUUGUUAGAUUCUGAGAAGGGUCUGCUAGACAACAUUGUGACUAUAGUUAAUAACAAUAUAUUGUACUCUUGAAAAUUACUAAGAGAGUAGAUUUUAAGUGUUCUCACCACAAAAAAUAAGUAUGUGAGGUAAUGCAGAUGUUAGUUAGCUUGAUUUAGCCAUUCCCCAGUGUAUACAUAUUUCAAACCUUCAUAUUAUACAUGGAUAAAUAUAUACAAUUUUUAUUUGUCAAUUAAAAGCCCCUCGAUGAAUACAGUUUCCAUUCUGUCCUUGAGGUGGAGCUUGUAGACUUGGUGGGGUCCGGGGAUCAACUUUUAAACAGGCAGUUCCAAAGUGUGGAGUGGAUAGGCUUAUUCUCUUUGUUGCUUUUAUGAUAGGUAUUUAGAAUGCACUUUCCUCUGUUAAGUUAAGCCAGCCACCAUUCCCUCAUUCAGUUUCCAUCCUCCAUGAAUUUGCUCACAUCUGCGGUCUACUGUCACUCAUUCUUUCCUUCUCUUCCUGAGGGCUUGUGUGACUUAUGUUCUUGGCUUUCUCUUAGGAACAUGGUGCAGCUUGGCCCUGCAUUAUCCAUCUGGAAAAACAGAUCAUAAAACAGUCCUUCUCUGUACUAAGUGCUAAAGUAGGAGGAAGGGCAUAAGUCAGCUCCCUGAGCUAUAUAUCCUUGUUUUCAGGAGCUGAGCUAGACACAAGCAGAACUUGCAAAUAAUUUACAUUUCUUUCUGCUGAGGUGGUUCAGAAUAAGUUGCAACAAACAUGAACAGGAAUGGUGCAGUAAAU